UGGGGAAUUUUGGACAAUGGGCGAAAGCCUGAUCCAGCAAUGCCGCGUGUGUGAAGAAGGCCCUCGGGUUGUAAAGCACUUUUGUCCGGAAAGAAAUCCUUGGCUCUAAUACAGUCGGGGGAUGACGGUACCGGAAGAAUAAGCACCGGCUAACUACGUGCCAGCAGCCGCGGUAAUACGUAGGGUGCAAGCGUUAAUCGGAAUUACUGGGCGUAAAGCGUGCGCAGGCGGUUUGCUAAGACCGAUGUGAAAUCCCCGGGCUCAACCUGGGAACUGCAUUGGUGACUGGCAGGCUAGAGUAUGGCAGAGGGGGGUAGAAUUCCACGUGUAGCAGUGAAAUGCGUAGAGAUGUGGAGGAAUACCGAUGACGAAGGCAGCCCCCUGGGCCAAUACUGACGCUCAUGCACGAAAGCGUGGGGAGCAAACAGGAUUAGAUACCCUGGUAGUCCACGCCCUAAACGAUGUCAACUAGUUGUUGGGGAUUCAUUUCCUUAGUAACGUAGCUAACGCGUGAAGUUGACCGCCUGGGGAGUACGGUCGCAAGAUUAAAACUUAAAUGAAUUGAC
This 566-nucleotide ribosomal RNA is filed under the name uncultured bacterium. RNAcentral's name for it is "partial 16S ribosomal RNA". It matches the Rfam family "Bacterial small subunit ribosomal RNA", at positions 355 to 914 of the family's 1533-position model. The record is from RNAcentral.